RNAcentral lists this transfer RNA (73 nucleotides) under Stegodyphus mimosarum. It matches the Rfam family "tRNA". From Rfam's summary of the family: Transfer RNA (tRNA) molecules are approximately 80 nucleotides in length. Lineage: Eukaryota; Metazoa; Arthropoda; Arachnida; Araneae; Eresidae. The record is from Rfam by way of RNAcentral.
GUCUUCGUGGUGUAAUAGUUAGUGCACUCGGCGCGUAAUCGAGAGGUCCAUGGUUCGAGUCCAGGUAAAGACA